UACUUCACAUCCUUUGGAGAACAGAAAGACCGAAGCUUAGGGAGUGCAGAGAUUUGCCUGGAGUCCUAGGGUUUCUGGGAACAGAAAAGCUUUACAGAUCUCCCGCUGGCUUCUGGUUCUCAGAACCAAAAGUGUUGCAGCCAGAAGGAGCUCAGAGCUCAGGAGUUCGGACUGGCUCUGCAUGAACUAAAAUCCCGGUUUCUAGACUCUGGUCACCAAUCAGUUGAUAUUAAAAGUCAAGCACCCUUGGGGACGGGGCUGGCUCUAGACCUCAGAGAACACAGGAUAACCUGACCACCGGAGUUCCAACUUGCUAAACAUGUCUGUUCUCAAAGUGAUAUACUCCAGCAUGGGAGUAAGGAAUACAGAUUCCAGGAGGCUUGUUAGAUCUAUAGACACAGAUCUCGGCUGGGGAUUGAAUUGAAUCUCAAACAGACUCUCCCUUAAUUUUUAGGCCAUAUAUUCCAGAAGACUGGAAAACGUUUCUCUAACAAGAAAACUGAGGUCUUGGAAGGGCCCUGGCCCGAGCCAGGAACAGUUAGUUGUCCCUACCCCCUCAACCCUUGCUCGCUCUGUUUGGUGACUGUGGUGGGGUUGCCAGGGGAACCAGGCUGUACAACUUCCUGGCUUUGGCGUUUUUCCCCCUCCUUGGCCUUAUCUCAGCAUCCGCCACCCAGUCCAGGGUUGUGUGGUCACGUAGGAGGGGAAGCUGGUGCCAGGCCUGUGGAGGACAGCAAGGGAACAGCCGCCCAAGUAUUGGAUGGGCAGGAGGGUGGUGCUGUGACCGUCAAGAGGUCUAGGAGGGUGCGCAGGGGCCCACCCUCAUGAACAUCUUUCUCUAUGGCUUGGGAGGUUCCUGGAAAAUGAGACUGUGGAGAAUUGUGACUAACCUGGGGCUCUCUCUGCCCUAACUCUCAUCUCUCAGUUCUUCCACAGCUGGAUCCCAGCAUCACCUGUGUGUAUCUAUGCUCCUCUCCAGACCUACAGUCUCCAGCCCCAAGCCUCUCCACUGGUCCCUACCCCCACACCGCAACCGCGCCCUUCAGCUCGUUCUGCCUGGUUCAAGAUUCCUUUCUGUGUUUUGGGCUUUCCUCUCUCCCUGCUGCAGCUCAGACUCUUGGGCAGUCAAGAGGAACAAGAAGGAGAAAAGGGGGCUUUGAAGACAGAUGGAAGACAGCUAGCAGCUUAAGUAAAGGAGCACAGCAUGGGAGAGCUUCCUUCUGGCCCUCCAAGAUGGGAUGUUUGGCUAGGAACCAGACUCAGAAGAAAUAGCUUUACUGAGGAUCAAAUGGAUACCCCUAAAAUGGAAGCAGAAGCUACGGAAGGCCUAGGAGAAGGAGGAGCGGUAGGAUUUCAGAGCAUCCUUCAGUGAUCAAUCUUACCUGUCCUUGGAAUUGAUGUCGCUCCGUAAUUAGCUUGUCGCCGUUCUGCUCUUGCUUUGCCAAUAUGGGCUUCAUGCAUUCUCCACCAAGGUCAACACUUGAUGUUAAAUCGACAAGGAAUUUAUUGGUCUCCCAGAUGUUUGGGCCACUCUGUUCUCCUUGAGUAUGGAGAGAUGGAUCCGUGGUUAAGCGCAUUCGCCGCUCUUCCAGAGGACCCAGGUUCAAUUUACAGCUCCCGCAAGGCAGAUCAUAACCAGCUGCAAUUCCAGUUUCAGGGGAACCCAGUGCCACCUUCUGGCCAACAGAGGUACUGCGGGCACAUGGUGCACAAACAUUCAGUCUUUAUCCUCAUCCACAUAAAAAUAAAUACAUAAGAAAAAUGUUUGAAAAUGUAUCAAAUGUCUGCCUCUUCAUCCCCAGAACUUGUGAAUACUGUCCUUACAGGGCAAAAGAGGUUUUAGAGGUAUGAUUAACUUGGGGAGCCUGAGGUGGGAGAUGAUUGUGACUGAUCAGGGUGGGUGUGGUCCAUGGGCUUUGUGGCUAGUGGAAGGGGUCAUGAGCAGAGGAAAAGGCACAGCCUUCGAAGCCACAGAAACUCUAGGAAGAAUGCAGUUUUGUUAAUGCUUCAAAUUUAGCUCCAUAAAACACAUUGGACUUCAAAACUUUAAUAAAUUUGUGUUUAUUUAAGCUA
Long non-coding RNA from Apodemus sylvaticus (European woodmouse), 2073 nucleotides. RefSeq lists it as uncharacterized. The record is from RefSeq and is a predicted model, not a curated record. Lineage: Eukaryota; Metazoa; Chordata; Mammalia; Rodentia; Muridae. The transcript is spliced from 4 exons.